AUGCGGCCGCCGCGCGCGCUUCCGCUGCCGCACUUCACUCUCCCGCCGCUUGCCGGCGAGGACCUCGCCUUCGUCACCGCCCUCCGCUCCCACCUCUCCUCCUCCCCGGAGCUCGCGCCCUCCUCCCUGUCCCGCUUCCUACCCCAACUCAACCCCCUCCGCCUCUCACACCUCCUCCUCUCCCCGCCCCGGGUGGCUCACGACCUCCUCGGCUCCCUCCUCUCCUCGCCGCCGCCCCCGCUCCCAUUCGCCCUCCUCCUCCACGCCAUCACCCCGCGCCGCUCCUCCGAGCUCCUCGCCUCACUGCUCCCCUCCGUCUCGCACCACGCCUUCCCGGAGCUCCUCCACCACCUCAUCUUAACCGCUCGCCUCGCCGCCGGGAGCCGCGGCACCGGCGCCGCAGUGCCCGCCGUCGACGUUCUCUUCUCUGCUUGCGCGCGCCGAAACAAGCUCUCUCAGGCCACGCUCACCUUCCGCGCCAUGCGUGCGCAUGGCCUGCUCCCGCGGGUCGAGUCCUGCAACGUCUUCAUCUCCGCGGCGCUCCGCCUGAAGCGCCCCGAGAUCGCCGUGUCCUUCUUCCGGGAGAUGCGCCGGUGCUGUAUCUCGCCCAACAUGUACACGGCCAACAUGGUGUUGCGGGCCUUCUGUGCCUUGGGGCGGGUCGCCGACGCGGCCACGGUGCUCGAUGAAAUGGCGGAUUGGGGGGUUGAUAGGACGGUGGUCAGCUUCAACACGCUGAUCGCUGCUUAUUGCAGGGAGCAUGGUGGUCUGGAACAUGCGCUGGAGCUGAAGAAGAAGAUGGAGCUGGAGGGGCUAGCGCCCAGUGAGGUGACCUAUAACACGAUCCUCCAUGUGCUGUGCAAGGAGGGGAGGAUGCAGCAAGCGAAUCGUUUGUUGAGCGAAAUGAAGGUGAAGAGGGUUGUGCCGAACACAGUGACAUACAAUACUUUGAUUUAUGGGUAUGUCAUGCAUGGUGAUAAUGGAACAGCGCGGAGGGUUCAUGAAGGGAUGGUUAAGAAUGGAGUCGAGCUUGAUAUCAUAACUUACAAUGCGCUCAUUCUUGGUCUUUGCCGGGAUGGGAAGAUAAAAAAAGCCGUGCAUUUGUUUCAGCAGCUUGACAGGUCCAAGCUUGAACCGAAUGCUUCAACUUUCUCAGCGUUGAUUCUUGGAUACUGUAUGACGCAGAAUUCAGAGCGAGCACUGCAACUGUUGAAGGUGAUGAAAAAAUCCGGCUUCCAUCCGAAUUACGACACAUAUAAGAUUGUUAUAUCUGCUUUCUGCAAGAAUAAGGAUUUUGAAGGAGCAGUGGAUGUGAUGAAGGAGCUUCUCGAGAUGUGCAUGGCUCCUGACAAGGUCUUAUUGCAUGAAUUCUUUGAAGCUCUCUCAAAGGCUAAAAAGCUCCACCUAGCAGAAGAUCUGUGGUCAGCUGAUAAAGGUGGAAAGUUUAUUCCAUCUAUCUACUAUACUGGUGAUUACAGGAACAACGGCGAAGAGAAAACUGCAUGUUAA
This 1509-nucleotide ribosomal RNA is filed under the name Triticum aestivum (bread wheat). RNAcentral's name for it is "partial small subunit ribosomal RNA". Lineage: Eukaryota; Viridiplantae; Streptophyta; Magnoliopsida; Poales; Poaceae. The record is from RNAcentral.